RNAcentral lists this ribosomal RNA (244 nucleotides) under uncultured eukaryote. Its description in RNAcentral is "partial small subunit ribosomal RNA". The record is from RNAcentral.
UCUCGUUUAUUACCAAAACGCCGCCUGCAUCCAUUUUGUUAAAAAAGUCGGCCCAGAUUGCCAAGGGGUCAGGGGAUCCCAAUCGAGAGAAAGUCGGCCGUGUCACGAUAGAUCAAAUCCGUGAGAUAGCCCAGCUCAAAAUGCCAGAUCUCAAUGCUUAUGAUGUCGAGGGGGCGAUAAAAAUCAUCGAAGGGACUGCAAGAAGCAUGGGGAUUGAAAUCAUCCAGAACUGAGUUCGCGAGGU